This 416-nucleotide ribosomal RNA is filed under the name uncultured bacterium. Its description in RNAcentral is "partial 16S ribosomal RNA". It matches the Rfam family "Bacterial small subunit ribosomal RNA", at positions 360 to 773 of the family's 1533-position model. The record is from RNAcentral.
AAUAUUGGUCAAUUUAGUCAACUCUGCACCAGCCAUUCCGCUUUCAGGAAGCCGGUCUUUUGGAUUGUAAACUGCUUUUGUACAGGAAGAAAAAGAGCUACGAGUAGCUUAUUGACGGUACCGUAAGAAUAAGGAUCGGCUAACUCCGUGCCAUCAGCCGCGGUAAUUCGGAGGCUCCAAGCGUUAUCCGGAAUCAUUGGGUUUAAAGGGUCCGUAGGCGGCCUUAUAAGUCAGCGGUGAAAGUUUUUGGCUUAACCAAAAAAUUGCCGUUGAUACUGUAGGGCUUGGAUUUUUGUGAAGUAACUAGAAUAUGUAGUGUAGCGGUGAAAUGCUUAGAUAUUACAUGGAAUACCAAUUGCGAAGGCAGGUUACUAACAAACGAUUGACGCUGAUGGACGAAAGCGUGGGUAGCGAAC